CCUACCCACACAGCAGCACCACCAACUGCCUACCCACACAGCACCACCAACUACCUAUCCACACAGCAGCACCACCAACUGCCUAUCCACACAGCACCACCAACUGCCUACCCACACAGCAGCACCACCAACUGCCUAUCCACACAGCACCACCAACUGCCUACCCACACAGCACCACCAACUGCCUACCCACACAGCACCACCAACUGCCUACCCACACAGCAGCACCACCAACUACCUACCCACACAGCACCACCAACUGCCUACCCACACAGCAGCACCACCAACUGCCUACCCACACAGCAGCACCACCAACUGCCUACCCACACAGCAGCACCACCAACUACCUAUCUACACAGCAAGCCACACCACCAACUGGAGACUAGAUGUUCAAAUGCGUGAGCCUAUGGGAGACGCUUGAAUUCCCCGAAGAUAAAAAUAAGGAUGCACAUGCAUGGCUUUACAGUUACUGGGUUUAAGCAGUUUCCACCCAUCGCUGCCUCUCUCACUGGAUCUCAUGCAUAAAAUGAAAGCGUUUGAGUAAGAAAUCCCUCAGCCACUUCCACAUCCAAGAUUCGAGUGCCAUGUCAUCAGACAGGACAUGCUAAGGCCAGAACAACACCUCAUUCAAAGAGAAAAAAUUGACCAUGUCAAAUGACUUCUAAGAAAACCUUGCAUGGAAGGUAUUGGAGAGGUCUAUAAAUAAUGCAAUAAGAGCUGUCAUCCUUGGCCACUGCCUCUACUGACCCUCUUAUAGGACUUUACAGUCAAUAUCCCAAUUACUGCAAACAAAGAGGGUUACUCAACUUUCCCUCUUGUAGCUGAAACAUCAGAUUGCCCAUGACAACAGGUGGUGCUCAUACUGAUCAAUCCAGCCCAUCUAAUGUUUUAUAAUGCAUUUUUCUAAACAUCAAUGCUGCAGGCUGUAGGAUAUUCAAUAAAAUCUACGACACAAAAAAGUAUAACUAUUCUCUGAGUAUCUACUACAGGCCAGUUUUCUAAGCUCUGAGGUUCAACAGUGAACAAACAGUUUGAACAAACUGAACUCCAGACUUUAUGAAGGUUUUCAUCUCAGUUACUCUUCUGGCUCUGAGCUUGCUGGUCUUCUAAAUCAGUCUAGGAAAAAAUAACAAUGAAAGUGAAGACUGAAAUCCCCACAGACCAGAUCAAAUGAUUAAGUUUCUGUCAAAAGGAUGGAGAUAUAGGGAACUAGUGACCAACUGAGACCAAUCUAGAUCUGAGAAUCUCUCUAAAAAA
Long non-coding RNA from Peromyscus eremicus (cactus mouse), 1257 nucleotides. RefSeq lists it as uncharacterized. The record is from RefSeq and is a predicted model, not a curated record. NCBI's taxonomy places the organism in Eukaryota, Metazoa, Chordata, Mammalia, Rodentia, Cricetidae. The transcript is spliced from 3 exons.